AUUGAGCGCUGGCGGAAUGCUUUACACAUGCAAGUCGAACGGCAGCACGGACUUCGGUCUGGUGGCGAGUGGCGAACGGGUGAGUAAUAUAUCGGAACGUGCCCAGUCGUGGGGGAUAACGCAGUGAAAAUUACGCUAAUACCGCAUACGAUCUAGGGAUGAAAGCGGGGGAUCGGAAGACCUCGCGCGAUUGGAGCGGCCGAUAUCAGAGUAGGUAGUUGGUGAGGUAAAGGCUCACCAAGCCAACGAUCUGUAGCUGGUCUGAGAGGACGACCAGCCACACUGGGACUGAGACACGGCCCAGACUCCUACGGGAGGCAGCAGUGGGGAAUUUUGGACAAUGGACGCAAGUCUGAUCCAGCCAUUCCGCGUGCAGGACGAAGGCCUUCGGGUUGUAAACUGCUUUUGUACAGAACGAAAAGGUCUCUAUUAAUACUAGGGGCUCAUGACGGUACUGUAAGAAUAAGCACCGGCUAACUACGUGCCAGCCGCCGCCGUAA
Molecule: ribosomal RNA, 500 nt
Filed under: uncultured bacterium
Lineage: Bacteria
Description: partial 16S ribosomal RNA
Rfam family: Bacterial small subunit ribosomal RNA
Source: RNAcentral